This is an RNA transcript of Gadus morhua (Atlantic cod), 729 nucleotides long. It is a transcript of the gene named CD59 glycoprotein, with no coding region annotated. The record is from RefSeq and is a predicted model, not a curated record. The transcript has 4 exons. NCBI's taxonomy places the organism in Eukaryota, Metazoa, Chordata, Actinopteri, Gadiformes, Gadidae.
AAACAAUAAUGGGAUGUGGUUACUGAGUGAAACUAUCUCGUGUCCAUUACAUAUGUACUAAGUUGUUUGGAUGCAGUAGACAACGUUAACUUCUGUCUCAACUUAAUCUCACGUUUUUACUCACUUUGCGAAGAAAGGGAUUUUAGCUUGACCUGAAACUGCGCAAAGCUCUUGAUAUUUUUGGGUGGAGUUGACCUGAGCAACAGAUAAACGAGGAUAGGAAAAAUAAAUAUUGAGAAAGAAAUACUCAAUACGGAAUCAGACAAGCAGGAGGAUCAGUCCAGAGAGGGAAGAAAGAUGAAGACUUUAGCGGUUGUUCUGGUGCUUGCAUUGGCCUUCAGCUUUGGAAAAGCUCUGAGGUGCAACAAGCAGUUUAAUAUAAUGGGAGCCGGUUUUACCACGGUGGUGACUUGCAAGGGACCCAGCGAAAUGUGCGCCGAAGUGCUGCUCAAACCUCCCUACCCCAACCACAAAAGUAGCUUCAGAAAUUGCAUGGAGUGGACCGAAUGCCAAAAGUUGCGUCUUAAGCCUAAACUUUGGACGGUCAGAUGCUGUGGGACAGACCUCUGCAACUAAGGCCCAGCGCUGGGGUCGGAGGUCACCAAGGUUACAUCUCUACCAGGGCUAUUCCCAUUUUGAAAUGGGCCAUUUCCCUUUCUGUACCAUCUUUAGUGAGGAAGUGGAUUGACAUGCAUCACAAUAAAGCUGUUAUGAAUCUGUAAAAAUGUA